This 473-nucleotide ribosomal RNA is filed under the name uncultured bacterium. RNAcentral's name for it is "SSU rRNA". It matches the Rfam family "Bacterial small subunit ribosomal RNA", at positions 26 to 518 of the family's 1533-position model. The record is from RNAcentral.
AGGACGAACGCUGGCGGCGUGCUUAACACAUGCAAGUCGAGCGGAAAGGCCCUUCGGGGUACUCGAGCGGCGAACGGGUGAGUAACACGUGGGCAACCUGCCCCUAGCUCUGGGAUAACUCCGGGAAACCGGUGCUAAUACCGGAUAUGACCUCAAUUGGCAUCCUUUGAGGUGGAAAGAUUUAUUGGCUAGGGAUGGGCCCGCGGCCUAUCAGCUUGUUGGUGGGGUAAUGGCCUACCAAGGCGACGACGGGUAGCCGGCCUGAGAGGGCGACCGGCCACACUGGGACUGAGACACGGCCCAGACUCCUACGGGAGGCAGCAGUGGGGAAUAUUGCGCAAUGGGCGAAAGCCUGACGCAGCGACGCCGCGUGAGGGAUGACGGCCUUCGGGUUGUAAACCUCUUUCAGCAGGGACGAAGCGAAAGUGACGGUACCUGCAGAGAAGCGCCGGCAACUACGUGCCAGCAGCCGC